Molecule: ribosomal RNA, 592 nt
Filed under: uncultured bacterium
Lineage: Bacteria
Description: bacterial SSU rRNA
Rfam family: Bacterial small subunit ribosomal RNA
Source: RNAcentral
CAUGCAAGUNGAACGGAAUUAGUUUUCGUAGCAAACGGGUGAGGAAUGUGCGAAAUUUUGCCUUUUAGUUUAGGAUAAAGUGGUUUAUUAAAGCAUUAAUACUAAAUAUUUUUAAAGAUUGUUAGUUAAGUAAACAAUCGCUAAAAGAUAACUUUGUACAAGAUUAGGUAGUUGGUAAUUUAAUAGAUAACCAAGCCAAUGAUCUUUAGUUGAUCUGAGAGGAUGAUCAACCACAUUGGAACUGAGACAAGGUCCAAGCUAAACUUUUGGCCAGCAGUAAAGAAUAUUGGACAAUGAACGAAAGUUUGAUCCAGCAAUACUAUUUGAAUGAUGACGGCUAUAAUUUGUUGUAAAGUUCUUUCAUUAAAAGUGAGAAUGACAAUUUUAAAGAAGAUGAAGUCCCGGCUAAUCUCGUGCCAGCAGCCGCGGUAAUACGGGAGGGGCAAGCGUUAUCCAAAAUGAUUGGGCGUAAAGUGUCUGUAGGCUGUAUAGUAAGUUAUAAAUCAAAUCUCAAAGCUUAACUUUGAACUAAUUUAUAAUACUGCUUUACUUAGAGUUUUAUACGGAAGAGUGGAUUUCAUAUGGAGAGGUA